CAGCCACGCCACGUGUGGGACGACGGCCUUCGGGUUGUAAACCACUUUCAGCAGGGACGAAAAUGACGGUACCUGCAGAAGAAGCCCCGGCCAACUACGUGCCAGCAGCCGCGGUAACACGUAGGGGGCGAGCGUUGUCCGGAAUUACUGGGCGUAAAGGGCUCGUAGGCGGUUUGGUAAGUCAGAUGUGAAAACUCCGGGCUCAACUCGGAGACGCCAUCUGAAACUGCCAUGACUAGAGUUUGGUAGAGGAGUGCAGAAUUCUCGGUGUAGCGGUGAAAUGCGCAGAUAUCGGGAGGAAUACCAGUCAGCGAAGGCGGCACUCUGGGCCAUAACUGACGCUGAGGAGCGAAAGCGUGGGGAGCGAACAGGAUUAGAUACCCUGGUAGUCCACGCCGUAAACGGUGGGCAUUAGGUGUGGGACCCUGUCAACGGGUUCCGUACACGUAGCUAACGCGUUAAAUGCCCCGCCUGGGGAGUACG
Molecule: ribosomal RNA, 483 nt
Filed under: uncultured bacterium
Lineage: Bacteria
Description: bacterial SSU rRNA
Rfam family: Bacterial small subunit ribosomal RNA
Source: RNAcentral